CAGCAGCCGCGGGAAUACAGAGGGUGCAAGCGUUAAUCGGAAUUACUGGGCGUAAAGCGCGCGUAGGUGGUUUGUUAAGUUGGAUGUGAAAGCCCCGGGCUCAACCUGGGAACUGCAUCCAAAACUGGCAAGCUAGAGUACGGUAGAGGGUGGUGGAAUUUCCUGUGUAGCGGUGAAAUGCGUAGAUAUAGGAAGGAACACCAGUGGCGAAGGCGACCACCUGGACUGAUACUGACACUGAGGUGCGAAAGCGUGGGGAGCAAACAGGAUUAGAUACCCCCGUAGUCCCUGUCUCUUAUAU
RNAcentral lists this ribosomal RNA (301 nucleotides) under uncultured bacterium. RNAcentral's name for it is "partial 16S ribosomal RNA". It matches the Rfam family "Bacterial small subunit ribosomal RNA", at positions 509 to 809 of the family's 1533-position model. The record is from RNAcentral.